UUGCUACUCCUCCAGCAGUUCAUAAUUAUACCUUUUUUCCUUCUCAGUGUGCCCUCUACCCCAGGAAAAGAGAGGAACUUCAAUAGAUGGAGAAAGUAAUGGAGGAAAAAUAGUCUUCAGAGUUAGAUCCUAGCUUGCCUUAUCUCUACUCCUCUUAUUCUUCAACCAACCUGCCUGGGAUCCAAUUCCAAAACAUCCAAUUUUUAAAAAUCCCUUGAAUCUAAAGAUAUCAUAAAAUACUCUAAUCAGAUUUCUGAAAACUGAAGGUCUCAUACAUCAAUUUUCAGCUGAAACAGAUUUCCUUUCAUGGAGUACAGCUUUUAAAUCAGAAUUUAUAUGAAUACCAACAUCAGUGACAGCGAUCCAAACGCAAAGUUAUUUACAAGGAAUAGAAGAAAAAAGCUCUGAACUCUCCCAGGACCCUUUACCCCAACUUCCUCAGCCACAUCCCACUUCCUUUGUGGGUGGUAUAAGAGAAGAUAUAAAAAGAAGGGAGAAGCACGAGUUUUGGAGCCUUUUCUAGAGAAGAGUCCUGCUCUGGAACUACAACUGCUUGAACAGAAGUGGACUGCAGUAAGACUGAAGGAUAUUUUGUAUUUUCCUUUGUUGCAUGGAUUGCCAUGAUCA
This 627-nucleotide long non-coding RNA is filed under the name Monodelphis domestica (gray short-tailed opossum). RNAcentral's name for it is "lncRNA (ENSMODG00000035122.2)". Lineage: Eukaryota; Metazoa; Chordata; Mammalia; Didelphimorphia; Didelphidae. The record is from RNAcentral.